UAUGGGAGUUCUCAGGCCAGGGACAGAUUCUGAGCCACAGCUGCAACCUAUACCACAGCUGCGGCAAUGAGAGAGGCUUUAACCCACUGUGUCAGGCCAGGGAUCAAAUGCAUGCCCCCCCAGUGACCCAAUUCACAGUGUUUUUUUUUUUUUUUUUUUAUAAGCAUUAUUAACUAAUAUAGUGGGUAGCAAAUUGCUAGGGUACUUAGAUACCAUUUAAUUAUGAAAAAGAGUGACUUAUGAGGAGUUCCUGAUGUAGCUCAGAAGUAACAAACCCUACAAGUAUCCAUGAGGAUGUGGAUCUGAUCCCUGGCCAUGCUCAGGGGACUAAGGAUCUGGCAUUGCUGUGAGCUGUGGUAUAGUUUGCAGAUGCAGCUCGGAUCCUGGGUUGAUGUGGCUGUGACAUAGGCCUGCACUGCAGCUCUGAUUUGACCUCUAGCCUGGGAACUUCCAUAUGCUGCAUAUGCAGCCCUAAAAAGAAAAAAAAAUAAAAAUUAAAAUAAAAUAAAAAGAGUGAAGUAAGGGGUUUAUUGUAAAAAGUCCAAUAUUUACAAUAUGACUUAGUUCCAAAAAUUAUAUCUUUGGAACUCUUUAAACUUAUUGAAAAAAUUUUAGAUGUCAGUAGAAAUAUGAGUAAUUAAAAUUUUUAAUCUGGGGGAUAUUUGAGUUGAAAAUAUGAAGACCACUUCUCUGAGGCUGAACAGUUAUUCUUCAGUGUACAUCUGUGAUAAAGCCCAGAUGAUAUUACAUAGUUUAAGAAUUUGUCUUAGACACUUUCAACAAAUCCGAAACACCUACUCUGGGAUAAACAAUUAUAAAUCAUUUUAUCUAUUUAUCAAAGUUUUUUUUUUCUUUUUUCUGCUGAACUUCUGUUUGAAAAUACUUCAUCAGCCUCUUCUUACAUAGGAGUAAUAAAAUUAAAUACCUUAAAAAUAGCUGGUUCUACAGACUAGUAACAAAUUCUUUCUGAAUUUCAGUUAACAUUUUAUUGAAUAUAAGUUGUUCUUACUUUUCUUUUUCUUAUUUCUAAAGUCAAUAAUUCUGGACAUUUAAAAUCUCAGAAGGAAAAAAGUCAUUAAAAAGUUUAAAACUCUUCAAGAAUUUUUUAGACUUUUGAGAGAAAAUAUAUUUUAAACAGACUUUUAAAAUCUUCAAAUAGGAGUUACAAUGUAUGAUUCCAACGGACCAAAAUGUCAGCAUAUUUUCACUGUUUAAGAAAUUUGGGAAAUAAUUACGUUGCAAGAGUAAAUUAAUUUUUCUCAUGAUAUAAUCAGACAAUUUUCCAUGUGCCUCAAAUGUGUUUGGUUCCUUAUCAAAACAUGUUGAAACCUGCAUUGUUUUGCUGUUAUAAUGAUUUUAAAGAUUUUUUUUUUUUUUGCAGCUAUGUACAAAAUUUUAAUUUCAAAGUAAAUUAAUGGCAUAGUUCCUGCUGUGGCAUAGUCAGUUAAGAAUCUGACUGUUGUAGCUUGGGUUGCUGGGGUGGCAUGGGUUUGAUCCCCUGCCCUGAGGUGGCACUGGUUCGAUUCUUUAACAGUGGGUUAAAUGAUCUGGAAAUGCUGCAGCUGCAACAUAGGUCACAGUUGCAGCUCAGAUUCAAUCCCUGGCCUGGGGAUUGGAAACUUCCAUACCCCAUCACUGCAGUCAUUUAAAUUAAAAAAAAAUAAUAACUUAAUGGCUGUGUAAAUAUAUAUUUAAUAUAAUCAAUAAUUCAAUGACUACAUUUAGCUAUUUUGACUACUGAUUUUCUCAGUAAUACUGACUACCAAGUCUUUUCUAUUAGAAGUGGUCCAUUAUGGACACAGCUGAAUAAUCUUAACCACUGAAUCAAAAAUAAAAGAUUUUUUUUCCUCAAUUAAAUAAUUGAGGCAGGAGUUUCCCUUGUGGUGCAGUGGUAACAAAUCUGACUAGUAUAUUGGAUUAUCAAACCGUGAUAAUGUCAAUGACUGAAUGACAGGAGCAGAUGAUGUCAGUGGUUGGGGAUCCCAGGCAGGACAGAGCAGGAUGGGGCAAGACUUCAUCAUGCUGGAGUUCCUGUUGUGGCUCAGUGUGGUAACAAAUCCAACAAGUAUCCAUGAAGAUAUGGGGUCAAUCCCUGGCCUCACUUAGUGGGUUAAGAAUCUGGCAUUGCCAUGAGCUGUGGUAUAGGUCACAGAUGCGGCUUGGAUCUGGCAUUCCUGCGGCUGUGGUGCAGGCCGGCAGCUACAGCUCUGAUUCAACCACUAGCUUGGGAACUUGUGUAGGUGCAGCAGCCCUAAAAAAAGUAGGCAGAUAGAUAGAUAGAUAGAUAGAUAGAUAGAUAGAUAGAUAGAUAGAUAGAUAGGUGAUGGAGGCAAAAACAACACAACUGGCCUGAUUUAUCCAAACUAGGGAUUUUUGGUAGAUUGAACCAUUGACUAUCAACUCUCCACUGAACUCUAUCAUAGUUGGGAAUGAUGUGCUAUGCUAGCCAAAUUUCCCUGAAGGACUGACUAACGUUGCCCUGCCUCCUGAGAAGGUUGGCCAUUGACAACUGACUGUCAGCCCUUUCUGUGAAUUGCCCUCUGCUGAAAAGUGAGUUGACUGGUCCGAAGUCGUGACUUGCUCCCAGGGCUGCACCCAUCUAAGGAUUGCUCAUGCAGGGUCACAAAGCCUUCUCUCUCUCACCACAGCAAGGGACACUCUGAAGGGCUAACUGAGCUUCAGAGCCUUGUGUAAUUAGCUGAGGCCUCUAUGUCCUGAGUUAUAUUCCCACUUUUCCCUCCACUCAAUCCUGCUUCCUUCUACCUACCCCACCCCCCCACAGGUGUUGAAUCCCAGACAACUUCGUAAUAAACUUACUCCUAAUAAAUUUUCCCCUUCAGAAUCUUCUUCUAUUGUGAAACUAACCUGUAGCAAUCACCAAUUAAAACUUGAAUAAAUAUAUGUGCAGUAUAGCUGCUACUGUUGUCUAGAACUAAGAAUUUAAUUAGGGGAUUACUUUCAUUUGCAUAGCUUUUCCAAAGCCCAUUCUUAUUUGAUGUAUCAGUUGAGGCUUCCGAUAAUUCUGUAAGGUGACUGAGGUAAAGAUUACUAUCCACAUUUCACAGCUUUGUAAACCGAGACUUGGCAAGAAAUGGCUACUCGGUUACAUACAGAAGUUAUUAUUCAUGUUUUCUUUGAGUUUGCUUCAUUGCCUAUAACACCACGUCUUUAAAGAUUCCUAUUCACAAUUGCUAUAAAACUCCAUCUAGAAGUUUUCAUUAUAUUGCCCAGCUCAAGAAUAGGUAGUAAGUGCCUAGUCAUCCUGGAAGUAUGAAAUUCAGUACCAUAAACAUAUUCAGAUUUUUUCAAGCUCUCAUCCUCAAACUGCAUUGCCCACACACACAUUGCUCACACACACAUACAUUCUUUCCUUUUGUCCUUUCAACAUAUGUUCUUCAAGCACCUGCUAUAAAUGAGACAUAAUAUUUCUUGAGAACUCACUAUGUGCCAGGCAUUACAGUAAAUGCUUUUUGUUUAUUAUCUCCAUGAAACCCUGUAAAACUGUAUGUUGUUAUUUCUAUAAUUUCCAUUAUGCAGGUGAGGAAACUGAUGCUUAGGGAGUUGAAAUAAUUUUCUCAAGGCUGAAAAACUCAGGUUGUCCCAGUUUUAAAAUCCAUACUCUUCACCUCUGCAACUAGACCUCUCUGAUAAAUGAAGAAGGUAGAGGGGUGAAUGAGACAUGGUUCCUACCCUCAAGAGUUUACUAUCUAGUAUGGGAAGACACUAUAACACUUGAUUAUGUUUUUAUAACAGCUUUAUUUAGAUAUAAUUCAUAUAUAACUCACCCAUUUAAAUUGUGCAAUUCCAUACCCUUAGCAAUGAUUACUCAUUUUUCCCACUCCUAACCCCAGUCCUAGACAACAAUAAAUCAACUUUCUGUUUCUGUAUAUUUACCUAUUCUGGACAUUCCAAAUACAUGGAAUCAUACACUAUGUGGUCUUCUAUAACUGGCUUCUUUCAUUUAACCGAUUUUUUUCAAGGUAAACCCAUGUUGUAUCAUCUAUCAGUACUCUAAUUAUGGGUGAAUAUUAUUCUAUUGUAGAGAUAUGCCACACUUUGUUUAGUUACCCAAUCAUCAGUUGAUGGCCAUUUGAGUCACUUCCAAAUUUUGACUAUUAAGCAUAUUGCUACCAUGAAGAUUCAUGUAUAAAAAUUUUAUGUAGAAGAGUUCCCGUCGUGGUGCAGUGGUUAACAAAUCCGGCUAGGAACCAUGAGGUUGCGGGUUAGAUCCCUGGCCUUGCCCAGUGGGUUAAGGAUCUGGCAUUGCCAUGAGCUGUGGUGUAGGUUGCAGCCUCAGCUCGGAUCCCGCGUUGCUGUGGCUCUGGCAUAGGCCGGUGGCUACAGCUCCGAUUAGACCCCUAGCCUGGGAACCUCUAUAUGCUGCGGGAAGCGGCCCUAGAAAAGGCAAAAAGGCAAAAAGACAAAAAACAAAAAAAAAAAAAAAAAACAUUCUCAUGGAUAUGUGUUCUAAUUUCUUUCAGGUUUAUACCCAAGGAGAAUUGAGAAUUGCUGAGUCAUAUGGGAAUUCUAGAGCUAUUUAACCUUUUAGGGAACUCUCAGCCUGUUUUCCAAAAUGUACCAUUUUACAUUCUCACCAGCAGUGUUUAAGGAUUCCAAUUUCUCCACAUUAUCCCCAACACUUGUUAUUAUAUUCCUAUUUCACUAUAGUCACAUUGCUGGAAUGAAGUGGCAUCUCACUGUGGUUUAUUUGCAUUUUCGCUACGUUUUUGUUUUUUUGCUCUUUAGUGCCACACCCGUGGCUUAUGGAAGUUCCCGGCCUACAUCAUAGCCACAGCAAUGCAGGAUCCAAGCUGUCUCUGCAACCUACACCACAGCUCAUGGCAACACUGGAUCCCUCACCCACUGAUGGAGGCUAGGGAUCAAACCUUCAUCUUCACAGAUACUAGCUGGAUUCAUUUCCACUGUGCUACAAUGGGAACUCCUCAAGUAGAUUUUUUUGAAUAGCUGUUUCUUCCUUUAAUAUAUUCCCUUAGGACAAUUUCCAGAGACAUUAAAUGCUUUUUUUUUUAAAUAUAAUUUUCACCAGUUGUGAGUGCACCAGUGGGAAAUGGUCUCCAAUAAUUCUUCCUGCCUCUUUCCCAGAAGUGGAACUCUCCCUUGAUUACAUUUUCAAUGUAAGUAGUUAAGAGCAGGAAGUGUUAGGGGUCAAUCAAACAGAA
This 5180-nucleotide long non-coding RNA is filed under the name Sus scrofa (pig). RNAcentral describes it as "lncRNA (ENSSSCG00015042359.1)". The record is from RNAcentral. Lineage: Eukaryota; Metazoa; Chordata; Mammalia; Artiodactyla; Suidae.